RNAcentral lists this ribosomal RNA (120 nucleotides) under Duganella sp. BJB476. Its description in RNAcentral is "partial 23S ribosomal RNA". The stretch from base 1 to 102 matches the Rfam family "Bacterial large subunit ribosomal RNA", at positions 2824 to 2925 of the family's 2925-position model. RNAcentral also lists the same sequence under 3 other names. The record is from RNAcentral. Lineage: Bacteria; Pseudomonadati; Pseudomonadota; Betaproteobacteria; Burkholderiales; Oxalobacteraceae.
UCUUUGAAGGGUCGUUCGAGACCAGGACGUUGAUAGGUCAGGUGUGGAAGUGCAGUAAUGCAUUAAGCUAACUGAUACUAAUUGCCCGUACGGCUUGUCCCUAUAACCUUAGCAGGUUAU